GGGGGUACAGAUAGAGGGAUGAUGGAGGGAUCUUAACAUCACUUAGGAGAGAAAGAGAGAGAGGGGGGGGUGCAGAUAGAGGGAUGAUGGAGGGAUCUUAACAUCACUUAGGAGAGAAAAGAGAGGGGGUGCAGAUAGAGGGAUGAUGGAGGGAUCUUAACAUCACUUAGGAGAGAAAGAGAGAGGGGAGGGGGUGCAGAUAGAGGGAUGAUGGAGGGAUCUUAACAUCACUUAGGAGAGAAAGAGAGAGAGGGGGUGCAGAUAGAGGGAUGAUGGAGGGAUCUUAACAUCACUUAGGAGAGAAAGAGAGAGAGAGGGGGGUGCAGAUAGAGGGAUGAUGGAGGGAUCUUAACAUCACUUAGGAGAGAAAGAGAGAGGGGGUGCAGAUAGAGUGAUGAUGGAGGAUCAAAAUGGCAGUCAGGAGAAAGAGGGAAAGGCACCUGAGUUAGACAGGGUCCUGGGAAGGGUGCCAUGUGGUCUGAGGGAGGAGGGGGGCCAGCCUGAGCCUGAUCUGAUCCCACAGGCAACACCUAAUAAACAGAGGGAUGAAGAGAGGGAUGAAACAGAGAGAAGAGGAGAGAUAGGAGAACAUAAUGCACUGCAGCCACAUGCAGCUGGAAGGACAGGGGAUUCUACCUGCUGCUCUCUGACACUGACUGGGACAUUAGACAAUAAACAAAGACUGUAGUGUUACUUAAGAAAUAAGGCCCGAGGAGGUGUGGUAUAUGGCCAAUAUACCAAGCGUAAGAACUAUUCUUAUGCACGAUGCAACGUGGAGUGCCUGGAUACAGCCGUUAGCCAUGGUAUAUUGGCCAUAUAGCACCUUUGGGCUCCUGAGUGGCGCAGCGGUCAAAGGCACUGCAUCUCAGCGCUUGAGGCGUCACUACAGACGCCCUGGUUCGAUUCCAGGCUGUACCACAAAUGGUCGUGAUUGGGAGUCCCAUAGGGUGGCGCACAAUUGGCCCAGCGUCGUCCAGGUUUGGCCGGUGUAGGCCGUCAUUGUAAAUAAGAAUUUGUUCUUAACUGACUUGCCUAGUUCAAUAAAGGUUAAAUAAAUACUAAUGUACCACGAACCUCCAGGGUGCCUAAUUGCUAUUAUAAACUGGGUGGGUCGAGCCCUGAAUGCUGAUUGGCUGACAGCCGUGGUAUAUCAGACCGUAUAACACGGGUAUGACAAAACAUUUUUACUCCUCUAAUUACAUUGGUAACUGGUUUAUAAUAGCAGUAAGGCACGCUGGGGGUUAUCAUGGCAAAGGGCUGUGUCCAGGUACUCCGAAUGGCACUGUGCGUAAGAACAGCCCUUAGCUGUGGUAUAUUUACUGGCCAUAUACCACAGUAUAUUGCAUCAUACCUGUGGUACUGUACAUUGUCUGGUAUACCACGGCUUUUGGCCAAUCAGCAUCCAGGAGCCAAAUUACCCGGUUCAUAAUAUGGCUUCUCCAUUUUUUUCUAUACCUUUAUUUAACUAGUCAAGUCAGUUAAGAACACAUUCUUAUUUACAAUGACGGCCUACACCGGCC
Molecule: long non-coding RNA, 1520 nt
Organism: Oncorhynchus tshawytscha (Chinook salmon)
Lineage: Eukaryota; Metazoa; Chordata; Actinopteri; Salmoniformes; Salmonidae
Source: Ensembl